RNAcentral lists this long non-coding RNA (5465 nucleotides) under Sus scrofa (pig). RNAcentral describes it as "lncRNA (ENSSSCG00060072751.1)". Lineage: Eukaryota; Metazoa; Chordata; Mammalia; Artiodactyla; Suidae. The record is from RNAcentral.
UUUUUUUUUUUUUUGUCUUUCUGCCUUUUCUAGGGCCACUUCCCGCACCAUGUGGAGGGAGUUCCCAUCAUGGCUCAGCAGUAACAAACCCGACUAGUAUCCAUGAGGAUGCAGGUUCAAUCCCUGGCCUUGCUCAGUGGAUUAAGGAUCUGGUGUUACUGUGCGCUGUGGUACAGGUUGCAAAUGUGGCUCAGAUCUAGCAUUGCUGUGGCAUAAGCCAGCAGCUGCAGCUCCAAUUUGACCCCUAGCCUGGGAACUUCCUCAUGCCUCGGGUGCAGCCCUAAAAAGAAAAAAAAAAAUUUAAAUUAAAUUAAAAUAAAAUACUUCCUACCUCUACUCACAGCUUCCCAACAGUCCCUCACCUCCCAGGCCACCUCAUUCUAUAUGCCCAGUGGCGCUCAAGCAUAUGAUGCUGCUAUAACUCUUUCCUUCUGAGGUGCUAGAAUCUCAACCCAGCUGGAAGACGUGGACAUGGGAGGAAGCAGGAAUGCACACAGAUGGGAGGCACUGGACUCCAACAGUUUGUUUAUUCUUCACACCAACUCUGUAGUGUUGAUGAAACUCAAGUUGAGAGAGUCAAAACAGUCAAAACAUGCAAACGAGCUCAGGUCUACCCCCAGGCUGGUGGAUUCAAUUCACCCCCGACCACACUGCCUUCAGUGGCUAGAGGUAAGCUAGGGACAGACCAACUCCAACUGCCCAAGCCACGGGCACCUGCCAUUAAAUAUGGAGCAUCAACAGGUGUUUACUGCAGGGGUCAAAGUGGAAACAAGCCCCAUCCACCCAACCACCCAACUGUCCCCAUGCCAAUCUCUAGAACAUCCAAGGACGAAGAGGCCUUAAGAACAUCAUACAUGGCUCUUUCAAUUCAAAGCCAAGAAAACAGAGCCCCAAAAGAAAAAAAAAAAAAGCAUUUUCUGUGCCUCAGGUAUCAUUCCUAUGGUCCCUCAGGUCACCCUCACAACAGUCACGCUAUGAAGUCAUUUUGGGGUGCACCUGAUAAGCAUAUGCACGCACACAUGUAUGUAUUUUUUAAGCGACUCAAAGUUACAUAGUAUCUUGUCCAAGACCUAACAUGGAGUUAAACGGCAAAGUUCCAACAUCUCCCCCAUCCAAGCCCUAUGUCUCUAUCUGGUCCCCAGCAUUACGUAGCUUCUAACCACUGGGAGCCCCAGGACUCAUACAAAAUAGUAUGUAAUAAAGGGGUAAAAGUGGGUAACUAGACCAGUGGUUUCCAAAUGUGGCUAAUUUAUUAGCAUCAUCUGAGAUGUCUCCUAAAAAUACAGAUCAGCCUCCCCCCCUUGCAGGCUUCUGACUGUGUAGGAGACCUUGAAAUCUCUAUUUUUACAUACUUCCAGGGAUUCUGAUCAUCAGUCUGCCUUACUCCUUACAGAAAGAGAAAAACAAUGGCAGAUCAGUCAUGAAAGUCUAUCAGGAGCUGGGAUUUGAAUCAACAGAAUUUAAAGAGAGCAACACUGAAGAGGUGGCUAUAUCCAGGGAGCAUUGACAGUGAGAACGGUGGGUGAGCGUGGGGAGACAUGAUGGAGGGUGAUCAGGAGGGAUACACCAGGCAGAUAUCGUGGUCACACCUUGAGAGCAAGGAAACACAAUCAAAGUGGUACAGGAUAAAGCAAACAGCAGGUGAGGUGAGCAUCUGGGCCAGGAUGGACAAUGAUAAGGCUGUUGACGUAGGGCACAAGCUGGUAAGGCCCCAACAAAGAAACAUCUGAAGGGGAAUGCCACCUGGAUUGCCAGAAUGUGAGCUCCGAGGAGACAAAGGGGCUACCUGGUUUGCUCUCACCUUGAUCCUGAGCACGUAGGAGAUGCUGAAUAAACAUCGUGGAAUGAACAACACAUAGGUGCAUUCUGUGGCCAUCUAGUCAGCAAAGUCAACAAAGAUACCUCAUCAAGGAAUUGACGUCAAGACUCAAAUCCCAAAGCCUGGCAUUAAGAUGACAGUACUGGGAGCUCCCGCUGUGGCGCAACGGGAUGGGCAGCAUCUUGGGAGUGCUGGGAUUAGGGUUUGAUCCCCAACCCAGCAUAGUGUGGGAUAAGGAUCCGGGGUUGCCGCAGCUGCAGUUUAGUUUGCAAUGGUGGAUCUGAUCCCUGGUCUGGGAGAUCCAUAUGCCGCCAAAAAAGGGAAAAAGAAAGAAAAAAAAAAAGGAUGAUGGUACUGGCAGAGGUGACUAAAAAAGAUGAGCUUCUUUCACUACUUCUUAACUUUUCACUCAAACUUUAUUUGGGCUUCUGGUGCAUGAAAAAUCAAGUGAUUCUGAAAUACGGGAAUGUACCACUGACAGUGGCAUGAACAGUGGGUCUUCUGUCUUGGGAAGAAGAAAACGAUGGGCCAGGUCUCUUAGUUUGAUUUUUGGCAAUGAGCAGAGACAAUCUCGUGAGAAUCUAAACUCAGAUGACAUUCCUCACAUGACCCAAGAUCACUGCCAGCUGACAUGUGGACAGCACAGUGGCUUAACCGGACUCCCUAUAAACUUUAAUGACAGAGCUGGCCAGGCUCUGUGUGGCUGGGUCAGCCUCCGGCUCCAGCAACCUGGGCAGAUGCCAGGCCCCCUGAAGCUGGCCAGUCCUGUCUCUGGGGGUUUCUGGAGACUUGAGAACUAGUUCUGCCCAAGGGGGGGAAAAAAAAAUUCUAGAUAAUUUUUGAAAUGCUUUCCAAACUAAUGAUUAUUCAAGGUGCCAUGUGUAUAAUCAUGUUACACAGUCCUUCAAAUGGCAAACACCAUCAAAACUCUAUGUUCCCGGUCCCAGGAGGCGGCGUUGGAGCGUGUACUCAAAUUCCUCUGCUCACCCACCUUCUGCAAACCUGAUCAUAAUAAGAUCUUUCCUUCCUAAAUGACAUCUACCAACUGCUAAUAUCCAACUAACAGAGAAAAGGGCUCUUGUUUCCCUAAGAUUCUCCACAGAGUUUGCUUCAUUACUACAACAGCCCAAAUAUGUAUUUUUAAAGAACUGCCAAAGGUUACAUGGUGCCAAUUUAAUUUUUCCUUCGAAUGCAAACUUUCCAAUGCCUGUCUUUCAUAAUACACCGAGAGGAAAUGCAUGGGUCCAAAUGACUUGACAAGUUUCUUUUAAUUUAAACACAUCUAAGCAUGUGUAGAAAAUUCCACUAGUUCAAAACGCUUCCUUUUCUUAAACAUAUUCCCAGGUCCAAUUACGUGUUUAUAGCCGUCUGCAAUGUAUUAGUUCUAAAGAUAAACAGUCUCUUGUUAAAAAUUGAUAGAAAACCAACAGCAUAUCACUACUGCCACACUCUGUCAGUCCUUCCCCUCGCAAGGGCGGUGGGAAGGCUAAAUCCACUGCCGUGAUCACGCUCUCCCUGCUGUCUCCAGCGCCCAGAAAUAAAGCACCUCCAGUUCCCACAGACAGCUCUGAGCCUUGACUGCUGAGACCUCUUUUUUCCCCUCUUGAACUCAGUAUAAAAUUCCAGAAUUCACUAACUGUGGACAGUUUUCCUUUUUCCUUUUCUAAAAAAGAGAGGCUUUAAGCUCAGAUGAUCACGACUUCUAAUUCCCAGGCAACAGUUGCAGUUUUCAAAUUAAAAUGCACAGGACUGGAAAUAAUGCACCUUAAUGGCUGAACGUUGAAAAACUGCAGUCCUUCAACUUUGCCUACAUGUAUGCUGCUAUACGUGAAACAAACAAGAGACUGAAAAGUCAUUUAAAUGGAUUAUUGGCCAUCCUGAGCUUGGAAACUGCUUCUAUGGAGAAAAACUGACUCACUGGCUAACAAAGAUUGCCGGCUACAGUCUCCAAGUUGACAUUUUAAAAAAUAUCUAAUCACCCUUUUGAAUGAUAUACCAAUUACUGAAAAUGGUAUCUGCCACAGUGAAAGAGCUCACUAGGAAAGCAUCCAGUUCUGGUCGGAACUGAGAAAUAUUCAGACCCUAAAGACAGGGUUGGGGGGAAAAGAUACCACCAGAGAAGACAAGUAUCAUUCAGCCAAAAAGCUUCCUUAAGGUGCAAGGUCAGAUUGACGCAAAAACCCAAAGAGACGUUCUUCUUUUAGAAUCCCCAAACAGUAACAAUUCCUGAACAGGACUCAGCAAAAAGGGACCUCCUUAACCCUGUCCUGCUUUUUAGGCAGGCUUCUCCUGAAUAUCUUUAGUUGGAAUUCUCCCUUUGCCCUCUUUUGCAACAAGAUGAGCAAUAAUGUUUUUCUGAAAUAAACAGGGAUUCUUUUUUCCCUUUUUGGGGUGGAAAGAGCACAAAGUUCAUAACUGGCUGGGAAAGGACCAAUCCUAACAGAUAAAACGAUCAUUUGCCACAGAGAAAUGCUGAUAAGGCUCAGAGUUUUAUUUCACAGCCGGAGCACCCACAUUUCCAUCUACUCUAUUCCGUUUACAAUCCUACCUGCUCUCCAAUCUCAGAGUAACAUUUGAGGACCCCAUAGCAUACACAGAGGCUCCCACACCGAUGAAAAAAUGCCCAUCUGCUGCUCAGGGCCAAAGAGGUUUCCCGAUUCCAAAUCGGGUAGAGGGGGAAUAACAGGCGACGGGGGGAAACUCAUGAAACCACCUUAAAGAUGACAUUAAUUGUCUUCGAAAAGGCAAUUAGAAAUGGACAAGUUAUUUGGUGGCACAAGGAGGAGAUAUGAGGAACCAGAAGGGACAGAAACAGCUGCACUCCCUAACCGAGGUCCCAGACCGCAAUGAGGCUGCAGACGUGAUCGGGGUGCUGGGAUUCCACCCAGCCGGACAAAGCUCAGGGCGCCCAGGUAGGGGCCGUCAGGCACAAAUCAAAGCCCAGGAGGCAGUUCCCUUUAGAGGGCGCUCAUUGGGUGUCGGAGGGAAACAAGCUCCAACCCCCGAAACGCGACCCAAAGGGGGAGAAAGCAAGUUCCCACCGCCGAGGCCAGGGAGGGAAGCUAGAUGCCCGCUUUCGGGCCCGUGGGAGAAGAGACUCCUCCAAGCCUCGGUGCACCCCAGCCGGGGCCCGCGAGGACGAGCGUGGCGGGCUGGAAGCCCCGGUUCUCCGAGCAGCCAGGCGACCCGAGGCCGAGCUCAGUGUCUCAGGCACCUCACCUCGCCCAGCUGCUGCACUUGAGCGCAACCCCUACCAAAAUGCCCUCCUGUUCCUUAGGGCCCGCAAGCCGCCCCCCGACCCUCAAGGAGGUCGGGUCGUUGCAAGACUGGGAGUCCAGGGGUCCGCAUCCUGGCAUUUUGGGGCGCAUUCCGCUCACCCCCCAAGGGACCGACGACUGUGCCUCCGCGGGUAGCUUAUCCACGCAGUAUCUGCUCCCUUACCCCAGCCACCCGGAACAUCAAACAAAAGAACUUUUGCAAACUUUCCUCUCCGGACACUCGCGGGUUUCUCAAAGCUGGGCCCCAUCUCCCCAGAACGUGCAUUCAAUGGAGUAGGAAAGCUGGCGUGGGGGGGUGUGUGUGCUGACAAAGGGACCCCAAAGUUUCCAGGUCGUUCCUGGGUCUCCGGGAGCGCGCGGAGGGGACC